GAAUUUAAGCUCAAGGAUCAGGA
RNAcentral lists this non-coding RNA (23 nucleotides) under Cricetulus griseus (Chinese hamster). The record is from RNAcentral. Lineage: Eukaryota; Metazoa; Chordata; Mammalia; Rodentia; Cricetidae.